GGUUAAGCGACUAAGCGUACACGGUGGAUGCCCUGGCAGUCAGAGGCGAUGAAGGACGUGCUAAUCUGCGAUAAGCGUCGGUAAGGUGAUAUGAACCGUUAUAACCGGCGAUUUCCGAAUGGGGAAACCCAGUGUGUUUCGACACACUAUCAUUAACUGAAUCCAUAGGUUAAUGAGGCGAACCGGGGGAACUGAAACAUCUAAGUACCCCGAGGAAAAGAAAUCAACCGAGAUUCCCCCAGUAGCGGCGAGCGAACGGGGAGCAGCCCAGAGCCUGAAUCAGUGUGUGUGUUAGUGGAAGCGUCUGGAAAGGCGCGCGAUACAGGGUGACAGCCCCGUACACAAAAAUGCACAUGCUGUGAGCUCGAUGAGUAGGGCGGGACACGUGGUAUCCUGUCUGAAUAUGGGGGGACCAUCCUCCAAGGCUAAAUACUCCUGACUGACCGAUAGUGAACCAGUACCGUGAGGGAAAGGCGAAAAGAACCCCGGCGAGGGGAGUGAAAAAGAACCUGAAACCGUGUACGUACAAGCAGUGGGAGCACGCUUCGGCGUGUGACUGCGUACCUUUUGUAUAAUGGGUCAGCGACUUAUAUUCUGUAGCAAGGUUAACCGAAUAGGGGAGCCGAAGGGAAACCGAGUCUUAACUGGGCGUUAAGUUGCAGGGUAUAGACCCGAAACCCGGUGAUCUAGCCAUGGGCAGGUUGAAGGUUGGGUAACACUAACUGGAGGACCGAACCGACUAAUGUUGAAAAAUUAGCGGAUGACUUGUGGCUGGGGGUGAAAGGCCAAUCAAACCGGGAGAUAGCUGGUUCUCCCCGAAAGCUAUUUAGGUAGCGCCUCGUGAAUUCAUCUCCGGGGGUAGAGCACUGUUUCGGCAAGGGGGUCAUCCCGACUUACCAACCCGAUGCAAACUGCGAAUACCGGAGAAUGUUAUCACGGGAGACACACGGCGGGUGCUAACGUCCGUCGUGAAGAGGGAAACAACCCAGACCGCCAGCUAAGGUCCCAAAGUCAUGGUUAAGUGGGAAACGAUGUGGGAAGGCCCAGACAGCCAGGAUGUUGGCUUAGAAGCAGCCAUCAUUUAAAGAAAGCGUAAUAGCUCACUGGUCGAGUCGGCCUGCGCGGAAGAUGUAACGGGGCUAAACCAUGCACCGAAGCUGCGGCAGCGACGCUGAUGCGUUGUUGGGUAGGGGAGCGUUCUGUAAGCCUGCGAAGGUGUGCUGUGAGGCAUGCUGGAGGUAUCAGAAGUGCGAAUGCUGACAUAAGUAACGAUAAAGCGGGUGAAAAGCCCGCUCGCCGGAAGACCAAGGGUUCCUGUCCAACGUUAAUCGGGGCAGGGUGAGUCGACCCCUAAGGCGAGGCCGAAAGGCGUAGUCGAUGGGAAACAGGUUAAUAUUCCUGUACUUGGUGUUACUGCGAAGGGGGGACGGAGAAGGCUAUGUUGGCCGGGCGACGGUUGUCCCGGUUUAAGCGUGUAGGCUGGUUUUCCAGGCAAAUCCGGAAAAUCAAGGCUGAGGCGUGAUGACGAGGCACUACGGUGCUGAAGCAACAAAUGCCCUGCUUCCAGGAAAAGCCUCUAAGCAUCAGGUAACAUCAAAUCGUACCCCAAACCGACACAGGUGGUCAGGUAGAGAAUACCAAGGCGCUUGAGAGAACUCGGGUGAAGGAACUAGGCAAAAUGGUGCCGUAACUUCGGGAGAAGGCACGCUGAUAUGUAGGUGAAGUCCCUCGCGGAUGGAGCUGAAAUCAGUCGAAGAUACCAGCUGGCUGCAACUGUUUAUUAAAAACACAGCACUGUGCAAACACGAAAGUGGACGUAUACGGUGUGACGCCUGCCCGGUGCCGGAAGGUUAAUUGAUGGGGUCAGCGCAAGCGAAGCUCUUGAUCGAAGCCCCGGUAAACGGCGGCCGUAACUAUAACGGUCCUAAGGUAGCGAAAUUCCUUGUCGGGUAAGUUCCGACCUGCACGAAUGGCGUAAUGAUGGCCAGGCUGUCUCCACCCGAGACUCAGUGAAAUUGAACUCGCUGUGAAGAUGCAGUGUACCCGCGGCAAGACGGAAAGACCCCGUGAACCUUUACUAUAGCUUGACACUGAACAUUGAGCCUUGAUGUGUAGGAUAGGUGGGAGGCUUUGAAGUGUGGACGCCAGUCUGCAUGGAGCCGACCUUGAAAUACCACCCUUUAAUGUUUGAUGUUCUAACGUUGACCCGUAAUCCGGGUUGCGGACAGUGUCUGGUGGGUAGUUUGACUGGGGCGGUCUCCUCCUAAAGAGUAACGGAGGAGCACGAAGGUUGGCUAAUCCUGGUCGGACAUCAGGAGGUUAGUGCAAUGGCAUAAGCCAGCUUGACUGCGAGCGUGACGGCGCGAGCAGGUGCGAAAGCAGGUCAUAGUGAUCCGGUGGUUCUGAAUGGAAGGGCCAUCGCUCAACGGAUAAAAGGUACUCCGGGGAUAACAGGCUGAUACCGCCCAAGAGUUCAUAUCGACGGCGGUGUUUGGCACCUCGAUGUCGGCUCAUCACAUCCUGGGGCUGAAGUAGGUCCCAAGGGUAUGGCUGUUCGCCAUUUAAAGUGGUACGCGAGCUGGGUUUAGAACGUCGUGAGACAGUUCGGUCCCUAUCUGCCGUGGGCGCUGGAGAACUGGGGGGCUGCUCCUAGUACGAGAGGACCGGAGUGGACGCAUCACUGGUGUUCGGGUUGUCAUGCCAAUGGCACUGCCCGGUAGCUAAAUGCGGAAGAGAUAAGUGCUGAAAGCAUCUAAGCACGAAACUUGCCCCGAGAUGAGUUCUCCCUGACCCUUUAAGGGUCCUGAAGGAACGUUGAAGACGACGACGUUGAUAGGCCGGGUGUGUAAGCGCAGCGAUGCGUUGAGCUAACCGGUACUAAUGAACCGUGAGGCUUAACCUU
RNAcentral lists this ribosomal RNA (2902 nucleotides) under Escherichia coli. RNAcentral describes it as "23S ribosomal RNA". It matches the Rfam family "Bacterial large subunit ribosomal RNA". Lineage: Bacteria; Pseudomonadati; Pseudomonadota; Gammaproteobacteria; Enterobacterales; Enterobacteriaceae. The record is from RNAcentral.